Long non-coding RNA from Hippopotamus amphibius kiboko, 333 nucleotides. RefSeq lists it as uncharacterized. Lineage: Eukaryota; Metazoa; Chordata; Mammalia; Artiodactyla; Hippopotamidae. The transcript has 3 exons. The record is from RefSeq and is a predicted model, not a curated record.
CAGAAAGUCACUCAGCUGGCAGGAUUUCACACUCUGCAGACUGACCCCCAAGCUUUUGUUCCUGAAUGGUCUAAGUCAUUCACGCUCCUACCUGUGUUACUGUAUUGAUGUCUUCUAGUAAGAUUUACAGGAUGGCAUAGGCAUCCUUGAUGCCAUUGAAGAUGCCUCCCUGGGAUAGAUGUUUAGGGAGCAUCCUCAACCCCAGGCUGGCUUUAUUCUGCCAUUCAGAAUUGCAUACAAUUUGGACAACCGGGGUUCUACAGUUACAGCAUAGUUAGAAGAAAACGCUUUCAAGUUUUCACCACUAAGAUCAGGAGCUAAACAAGGAUGCCC